AACAAGUAACUUUCUUAGUGAAAUAUACUACAUACUACAAAAUUGUGCGUCGUCAAGGGUCGGCGUCGGGUGCGUCGGGCGGGUUCGGCCUCGUUUCCCUCGUCGUCGAACCCCUCGAACCGGCGUUGAUACUGAGGAACCCAGCCCCAGUUGUUUUGCCGUUCGUCUGCCCACUGUCGCCACGGCUCCUCGAUCUCCUCGUCGGCCAUGGUAGUACUAAGUGCUGUGGGAUAUAAACGAGGUUAUAUCCCUGGGCCUAUGGGCAGACUAUGCUCUACGGGACAAUAGUCUGGUGCGAUAUUUGAAACUUGAAAAUACCCUAACGAAAUAUUACUACCGAUGUUAUACAAUGUCUUAUACUAAUCCGCCUUGUGGGCGGCCCCAAAUUUACUUGCUAGUCCUGGCUGGUCGUCUGUGUUGCGUCUUCGCUGUCCUGCUGUUCCUCGUCGUCGUGUUGCUGGAAGGCCUUUAGGUCGGCUACCCCGGCGGUGCGCCGUUGUCCAGUCUCCGUGUGACGAACUCUGGCUAUGUUGGGUGAAUCGAAUUUGGUUACCUUAUACGGCCCCUCGUACCGUGGGGCUAACUUGGCGGCGAACCCGUCGUUGGCUUUCGAUAGCACGUGUUGCUUCACUAGCACCAAGCUGUCAAUGGUUGGUCUCCAAUCGCGUCGUCGUAGGUUGUAGUGGCGGCCCUGUUCUGCCGAUGCUCGUUGUGUGUUGUCCCUUGCCGCCUGGAAAACCUCGUACAGCUGUUUUGCCCUGGUUUCGGGAUCGGUAGCGACUAUUCCGGAUCUUGGCGUGACUUCCUCGUACAAUGCUCCUGGUAGUCUCGGCUCUCGUCCUUGGACCAGGAACGCCGGACUGAAUCCUGUUGUGUCGGACACGCUCCCAUUGAUUGCCAAUGCAAUCUCCGGUAGCAGGGUGUCCCAUGUACUAUGCGGUCCCUCGAUGUACUGUGCGAUAAUGGUCUUGAUUGUCCGGUUAGAGAGCUAACCCGUCGGGUUUUUCUGUGGAUUGUACGGCGCAGUAUACUCCAGUGUCAUACCUGACCGCUUACAAAACGCUUUAAAGGAACGACUGGUAAAUUGAGUCCAGUUGUCGCAGAUGAACUUCCAGGGUAUCCCAAAUCGGCUGAGGAUCCGGUCGCGAAAAGCUUUCUCCAGGUAUGUUGCCGUGGCACGGCGCAGAGGUAUCAACUCCACCCAUUUGGAAAACAUAUCCAAGAAGACUAGUAACACUGUGUUACCUUGUUUGGAUCUCGGCAGUGGUCCAACGAAGUCGGCGCAAAUGGUAGCGAAAGGCUCGCUUGCCUGUCGUGUUAGCAUCUUCCCUGCUGGCUUGGCUUGUUGCGUCUUGAACUUUUGGCACACAGCACAUUUCCUUACGUAGCGAGCGACGUCUCUGAAGAUUCCGGGCCAAUAAUAUCUUUGACAUACCCUUGUCGUUGUUUUGCGUAUUCCCAGGUGUCCCGCGCUUGGUUGGUCGUGGCAUUCUUGCAGCAACACACAGAGCUUCCAUGGUAUGAAAUCUUCCUCCAGGGGCCGUUGUCCUACGUUCCUGUACAAUUGUCCGUUCUCCAGGGUAUAAUCGGGGUACUUCUCUGGUCGCUCCAGUGUCUCCUGUGUGCGUCGUCGUAUCCAUGCGCAUGUGUUCUGUUCCUCGAUGAUUGUCUGUAUGGCCUCGAGUGGCUGUCGUGACAAGGCGUCUGCGACAACGUUCUGUCGUCCUUUUCGGUAGUGAAUGUCGAACUGGAACUGUUGGAGUUCCAGGGCCCAUCGUGCAAUUCGUCCUGUGGGAUUUUCGAUCGUGUUGAGCCACUUGAGGGCCAAGUGGUCCGUCACGACGUCGAACCUGUAUCCUUCCAAAUAGCAACGCAGCUUCCUGAUGGCCCAGACGAUUGCUAAGCAUUCCUUCUCGGUGGCGGAGUAAUUCUCCUCGGCCCUCGAUAGUCUCCGGCUCACAUAUGCAAUGACCCUCUCGCCGUCGGCACUCGGCUGGGUUAGUACUCCUCCUAGUCCGUAGUCGCUGGCGUUAGUCUGGAAAGAGAACUUACUGGUAAAAUCCGGACACGCGAGAACUGGUGCCUCGGUCAGUAGUUCCUUGAGUUGUGCGAACGCUUGCUGUUGUGGCAUUUCCCACGUCCAUUUCUUGCCUUUCCGAAGUAGCUGUGACAUCGGUUGUACCACGGCUGCAAAGUUUGGGACAAAUCGCCUGUACCAGGAGGCGAGACCCAGGCAUCGGCGUAGUUCUCGUACACUGGUUGGAGCUGCGAGCUUUUGGACAGCGGCGAUCUUCUCGGGAUCGGUGUGAAUUCCUUCCUUUCUAACGACGUGCCCCAGGUACACCAACCUGCGCUGGAAGAAGAGGCACUUCUUCCGGUUAAGCCUGAGGUUCGCUUGCCGUAAGCGCCUCAACACUUCUCUGAGAUUCCUGACGUGUUCCUCCAAUGUGGUUCCAAUGAUGAUGAUGUCAUCGAGAUAUGCGAACGCGUGGGGUUCCAUAUCUGCCCCGAUGACGCUGUCGAGUGCCCUCUGGAAUGUUGCGGGUGCUGAGUGGAGUCCAAAUGGCAUAACACGCCAUUGGAAAAGACCUCGGCCUGGUACUGUGAACGCGGUGCAUUCACGGCUUGCCUUGGCCAUGGUAUCUGCCAAUACCCGCUUUUCAAGUCCAAUGUGCUAAUAUACUUAGCGUUCCGCAAUCUCUCCAAGAUUGAAUUUAUCCUCGGCAGGGGGUAUGCAUCCGGUACCGAUCGUGCAUUGAGUUGCCGAAAGUCCACACACAUGCGGGUUUCUCCAGUUUUCUUGCCCACCAACACAAUAGGGGCACUGUGUGGGCUUUUGGACGGCUCGAUGCAUCCGUCCCGUAGUAACUCGUCUACUUGCGCGUGAAUUAUCCCUUGCAUGGCUGGGAUCCAGGCGUCGUCCUGUGUGGUCCUCGUUCUCACUGCUAAGGUGCUAAGGUUGCUUUUCCUUGUCAUCGAUGGGGGGCCACAGAUGAUCCCC
Molecule: long non-coding RNA, 3001 nt
Filed under: Drosophila guanche
Lineage: Eukaryota; Metazoa; Arthropoda; Insecta; Diptera; Drosophilidae
Source: RNAcentral